Molecule: ribosomal RNA, 137 nt
Filed under: uncultured eukaryote
Lineage: Eukaryota
Description: partial small subunit ribosomal RNA
Rfam family: Eukaryotic small subunit ribosomal RNA
Source: RNAcentral
UCGCUACUACCGAUUGAAUGGUUUAGUGAGCUUCACGGACUGGCGACCGCGGCAGGCAACUGCUGCGGUUGCUGGGAGGUGAAUCAAACUUGACCAUUUAGAGGAAGUAAAAGUCGUAACAAGGUUUCCGUAGGUGA